AAAUUGAAGAGUUUGAUCAUGGCUCAGAUUGAACGCUGGCGGCAGGCCUAACACAUGCAAGUCGAGCGGUAGCACAGAGAGCUUGCUCUCGGGUGACGAGCGGCGGACGGGUGAGUAAUGUCUGGGAAACUGCCUGAUGGAGGGGGAUAACUACUGGAAACGGUAGCUAA
Molecule: ribosomal RNA, 170 nt
Filed under: Citrobacter freundii
Lineage: Bacteria; Pseudomonadati; Pseudomonadota; Gammaproteobacteria; Enterobacterales; Enterobacteriaceae
Also listed under: 10 other names
Description: partial 16S ribosomal RNA
Rfam family: Bacterial small subunit ribosomal RNA
Source: RNAcentral